This 500-nucleotide ribosomal RNA is filed under the name Paenibacillaceae bacterium CL6.52. RNAcentral's name for it is "bacterial SSU rRNA". It matches the Rfam family "Bacterial small subunit ribosomal RNA", at positions 21 to 498 of the family's 1533-position model. The record is from RNAcentral. Lineage: Bacteria; Bacillati; Bacillota; Bacilli; Caryophanales; Paenibacillaceae.
GGCUCAGGACGAACGCUGGCGGCAUGCCUAAUACAUGCAAGUCGAGCGGAGUUCUGUUGAAAGCUUGCUUUCAACAGGAUUUAGCGGCGGACGGGUGAGUAACACGUAGGCAACCUGCCCCAUAGCCUGGGAUAACUACCGGAAACGGUAGCUAAUACCGGAUAAUUCCUUUCCCCUCCUGGGGAGAGGAUGAAAGACGGAGCAAUCUGUCGCUGAGGGAUGGGCCUGCGGCGCAUUAGCUAGUUGGUGGGGUAAUGGCUCACCAAGGCGACGAUGCGUAGCCGACCUGAGAGGGUGAACGGCCACACUGGGACUGAGACACGGCCCAGACUCCUACGGGAGGCAGCAGUAGGGAAUCUUCCGCAAUGGGCGCAAGCCUGACGGAGCAAUGCCGCGUGAGUGAUGAAGGUUUUCGGAUCGUAAAGCUCUGUUGCCAGGGAAGAACGUCUUAUAGAGUAACUGCUAUAAGAGUGACGGUACCUGAGAAGAAAGCCCCGGCU